AGGCCUGAGGUACUGGAAGGUCCUCAGGCCGAAAGGGGCUCUGCCCGCCCGAGGAUGGGCCGGCGGCCGAUUAGGUAGUUGGUGGGGUAACGGCCCACCAAGCCGAAGAUCGGUACGGGCCAUGAGAGUGGGAGCCCGGAGAUGGACACUGAGACACGGGUCCAGGCCCUACGGGGCGCAGCAGGCGCGAAACCUCCGCAAUGCGGGCAACCGCGACGGGGGGACCCCCAGUGCCGUGGCAACGCCACGGCUUUUCCGGAGUGUAAAAAGCUCCGGGAAUAAGGGCUGGGCAAGGCCGGUGGCAGCCGCCGCGGUAAUACCGGCGGCCCGAGUGGUGGCCGCUAUUAUUGGGCCUAAAGCGUCCGUAGCCGGGCCCGUAAGUCCCUGGCGAAAUCCCACGGCUCAACCGUGGGGCUUGCUGGGGAUACUGCGGGCCUUGGGACCGGGAGAGGCCGGGGGUACCCCUGGGGUAGGGGUGAAAUCCUAUAAUCCCAGGGGGACCGCCAGUGGCGAAGGCGCCCGGCUGGAACGGGUCCGACGGUGAGGGACGAAGGCCAGGGGAGCGAACCGGAUUAGAUACCCGGGUAGUCCUGGCUGUAAAGGAUGCGGGCUAGGUGUCGGGCGAGCUUCGAGCUCGCCCGGUGCCGAAGGGA
RNAcentral lists this ribosomal RNA (653 nucleotides) under uncultured archaeon. Its description in RNAcentral is "bacterial SSU rRNA". It matches the Rfam family "Archaeal small subunit ribosomal RNA", at positions 156 to 809 of the family's 1478-position model. The record is from RNAcentral.